GAUUCCAGUUUUUAGUUUGAUAUAAUAAUAGCUAGAACGUAUUGAAAUACAUUCUUACUCUAAAUAAUUGAGCAAUCUACUAAAAAGGUUCCAAACAGAAUAAUAUAGUCAAAUUCCAUUUGUGAAACAGAAUGCAUUACAACAUUCGAUGCUUAUAAGGAAGCUAUGUGAUUGUACAGGUUCACUGGCAAGCUAGAAGUGGCACCCUC
Molecule: long non-coding RNA, 209 nt
Filed under: Elaeis guineensis (African oil palm)
Lineage: Eukaryota; Viridiplantae; Streptophyta; Magnoliopsida; Arecales; Arecaceae
Description: long non-coding RNA (EGUI_LNC011977)
Source: RNAcentral